Molecule: ribosomal RNA, 450 nt
Filed under: uncultured bacterium
Lineage: Bacteria
Description: partial 16S ribosomal RNA
Rfam family: Bacterial small subunit ribosomal RNA
Source: RNAcentral
GUGGGGAAUAUUGGACAAUGGGCGAAAGCCUGAUCCAGCCAUGCCGCGUGUGUGAAGAAGGUCUUCGGAUUGUAAAGCACUUUAAGUUGGGAGGAAGGGCAGUAAGUUAAUACCUUGCUGUUUUGACGUUACCGACAGAAUAAGCACCGGCUAACUUCGUGCCAGCAGCCGCGGUAAUACGAAGGGUGCAAGCGUCAAUCGGAAUUACUGGGCGUAAAGCGCGCGUAGGUGGUUUUGUAAGUUGGAGGUGAAAUCCCCGGGCUCAACCUGGGAACUGCGUCCAAAACUGCAUGACUAGAGUACGGUAGAGGGUAGUGGAAUUUCCUGUGUAGCGGUGAAAUGCGUAGAUAUAGGAAGGAACACCAGUGGCGAAGGCGACUACCUGGACUGAUACUGACACUGAGGUGCGAAAGCGUGGGGAGCAAACAGGAUUAGAAACCCUGGUAGUCC